RNAcentral lists this ribosomal RNA (493 nucleotides) under uncultured bacterium. RNAcentral describes it as "partial 16S ribosomal RNA". It matches the Rfam family "Bacterial small subunit ribosomal RNA", at positions 28 to 507 of the family's 1533-position model. The record is from RNAcentral.
GACGAACGCUGGCGGCGUGCCUAACACAUGCAAGUUGAGCGACGAACCAGGGCUUGCCCUGGGGCAAAGCAGCGAACGGGUGAGUAACACGUGGGUAACCUACCCCGAUAACCGGGACAACCCGAGGAAACUCGGGCUAAUACCGGAUGUGCUCACUGGACUUCGGUUCAGUGCGUAAAGGAAGCUUCGGCCUCCGUAUCGGGAGGGGCCCGCGGCCCAUUAGUUUGUUGGUGAGGUAACGGCUCACCAAGACCGCGAUGGGUAGCUGGUCUGAGAGGACGAUCAGCCACACUGGGACUGAGACACGGCCCAGACUCCUACGGGAGGCAGCAGUGGGGAAUCUUGCGCAAUGCGCGAAAGCGUGACGCAGCAACGCCGCGUGGGGGAAGAAGGCCUUCGGGUUGUAAACCCCUUUCAGGAGGGACGAAGGUUCGGCGGUGAAUAGCCGUCCGGACUGACGGUACCUCCACAAGAAGCCCCAGCUAACUACGUG